RNAcentral lists this ribosomal RNA (497 nucleotides) under uncultured bacterium. Its description in RNAcentral is "partial 16S ribosomal RNA". It matches the Rfam family "Bacterial small subunit ribosomal RNA", at positions 28 to 507 of the family's 1533-position model. The record is from RNAcentral.
GAUGAACGCUGGCGGCGUGCCUAAUACAUGCAAGUCGAGCGAACAGAUAAGGAGCUUGCUCCUUUGACGUUAGCGGCGGACGGGUGAGUAACACGUGGGUAACCUACCUAUAAGACUGGGAUAACUUCGGGAAACCGGAGCUAAUACCGGAUAAUAUUUCGAACCGCAUGGUUCGAUAGUGAAAGAUGGUUUUGCUAUCACUUAUAGAUGGACCCGCGCCGUAUUAGCUAGUUGGUAAGGUAACGGCUUACCAAGGCGACGAUACGUAGCCGACCUGAGAGGGUGAUCGGCCACACUGGAACUGGACCACGGUCCAGACUCCGACGGGGGGCAGCAGUAGGGAAUCUUCCGCAAUGGGCGAAAGCCUGACGGAGCAACGCCGCGUGGGUGAUGAAGGUCUUCGGAUCGUAAAACUCUGUUAUUAGGGAAGAACAUACGUGUAAGUAACUGUGCACGUCUUGACGGUACCUAAUCAGAAAGCCACGGCUAACUACGUG